Molecule: non-coding RNA, 884 nt
Organism: Dermacentor albipictus
Lineage: Eukaryota; Metazoa; Arthropoda; Arachnida; Ixodida; Ixodidae
Source: RefSeq, a predicted model, not a curated record
ACUUUGGAGCCCGGCCUGAGCCAGCAGAUCAGCGCCCCGAGCCAACAGAGAGCCCCGAGCGAGCAGCCCGCCAAGAGCAAGGCACAGUCAGUGUCAGUUGGCACGGCUGCGGGCACCAGUGGCUUGUCAUCAGGUGGACAGCAGCGCAGCCCCCCUUCCGGCAGAGCACCCAUCCAAUUGCAGCCUCGACGUGCUGGCAUCGGGGAGCUGCUGUUGCGUAUAUCGCGCCAGUGUUCCCGCAGCCUAUGCCAGGCCGACGACAUUGUUAGGUGCAUUGGAUAAGAACAUGAAUAACUGUAAGCCUGUUGCCACAUUUGGGACAUGUAGGAGGUUCGCUUCCCGUCAAAAGGUAAGAGUGAGUGGCGUACGUAUGUCCUAUUCUUAAUCUACACAGAAGUACUUCCUUAUGCCUUGCUGUUCUUUCAGUUAUCCAGUUCCCUAAUUUUGGUUUGAUAACGUGUAGCUUAUUCAGUACUGCAUUAUCCCAUUGAUGUUGCCAGUACUUCCUAAGUUUAUGGCGUAAGAAGGGCUUAAGUUCUGUUGCUGCUAUAGGUCUGUUAACAUCCGUUUCAUUAAAGACAACUGACGCUGCACUUUCGUCAGCAGCUACAUUGCCUUUUAUGCCCCUAUGGCCAGGUACCCAACAUAGGACGAUGUUUUGGUUGUAUAUUAAAGCUAAGCAUAGUUCUAUGUAUAGUUUAUUAAAAACAGGAUUCCUAUGUUUUCGAAAACUCAUUAAGGCCCUUAUUACGCUUAAUGAGUCGCUGAAAAUGAUGGCCUUAUUGAGAUUUGUUUGUCUGAUAUGUUUUACAGCUGAGAGUAUCGCGUACGCCUCAGCCGUGAAAAUACUUGUGUUGGGAUUUAGAGAAUCUGAGGUGGAAAAA